Dipodomys spectabilis (banner-tailed kangaroo rat) is the source of this 1064-nucleotide long non-coding RNA. RefSeq lists it as uncharacterized. The transcript has 2 exons. The record is from RefSeq and is a predicted model, not a curated record. NCBI's taxonomy places the organism in Eukaryota, Metazoa, Chordata, Mammalia, Rodentia, Heteromyidae.
GGCCGCCCCGGGCAGGCGCCUUCUCCCGGAAGUGAGCCUUCCUGGUGGGACUGAUGGAGGCCCGGCUCCGCAUGGUGCAUAGGACUAGAGCCGGUCCACCGGCCGCGGAGGGGCCUGGGGCCCGCUGCAGCCUAGUGCGGCCAGGUGUUGAAGAUCUCAGAUUCUUGGAGUCUCCUGCAAAGAUUGGAUGGAGAUGCACAAAAGCAGCAGAGCAAAGAAUGUGACAGUGACAAGAAGCCACAGGCCCAAGCUGUGGUUAAAAUUUCACCUUUGCUACUGUGUGAAAUUCACACCCCAGUAGUGAUGGGAAUCUGCUUUGUUCUCAGAACUCCAUGUUGCUCCCAUGGACCACUGACCACCCUCUCCCUUCUGGCUCUCAGGAAAAUUCCACCCCUAGCCUUACCUGAAAUAGUAGGACUGCCAGGGGCAUCAAGAGGUGACCCCUAUGUGAAACCCCAGACAAGAACUGUUAGCACCAUAAAUCCCAAACGGGACAGUUCUGACAAUAAAUUCCCAACAGGAAAGGACAAAGAAAUUCCAAAGAGUUUCAUCUUCAAAUGUAUAAAAACCAAACCCACCCACUCCACCCCUAGCUUUUUUUCAGCCACCCUGCUCUGUAUUCCAUGGAGUUCCUCUGCAGCAGUGAUUACAGCUUUCUCUGGUCUGCUGAGGUUUCUGCCUUUACCUGCUUUUCUCUGCUUGGUAUUUCCAACAAUCAUGACUCAGUGCCCUAACAAGUACUAGUACUCUUCCCCCAAAAAAAGAACUGCUUCAAGUCCAUACAUUCUUGCAUGACCUAAGAUGCUUUCCUUUAAGAAUUGAUUGAUUGGGAAAAAUGAGAACAAAAGGGGUGAUACUGAUCAAGACACAUUGCACUCAUAGUCUGCCUUGACUUGAACCCCCUUUUUAAAACUACUUGAAGAAAAACCUUUUAGGAAAUAUUGUGUGCGUUGAGUGUGGGGAGGUGUUGAGUGUACAUUCUAAUGUGUUUGCUGAAGACAGAAAACAUUGCUCCCCUGGAAUUGCUGUAGUUUGCAUUUACAACUCAUGAAAUGGUAGUUUGA